RNAcentral lists this long non-coding RNA (379 nucleotides) under Lathyrus oleraceus (garden pea). RNAcentral describes it as "Pisum sativum (pea) long non-coding RNA (PSAT_LNC036534)". The record is from RNAcentral. Lineage: Eukaryota; Viridiplantae; Streptophyta; Magnoliopsida; Fabales; Fabaceae.
UUCUUUCUGCCUUUCCCUUUCCUUUAUGAUUCUCUUUGUUUAUUCUAACUUUUUACUUUUUGGCCUAGAAUGUACGGUAUCUGACUAGCAUUUGCUGCGGCUGGUUUCCGUAUUUGCGCUAAAGGUACUUGACCCCUCUUCAUUCUUAGCUUCCAUUCCAAAAACAGCACUCUUUCGGUCACCUUCCACAAUGGGCUUUCAGUCCGCUAUCUCCGCAUUGCUUCUGUAAACUCCGGUAUAGUUCCCCUCCCCUUUAGUUCCAUCAGUGGGUUCCUCCAUUCUCUUCUCGGUAUUACGCUAUCUCCGCAUUGCUUCUGUAAACUCCGGUAUAGUUCCCCUCCCCUUUAGUUCCAUCAGUGGGUUCCUCCAUUCUCUUCUC